Molecule: long non-coding RNA, 1180 nt
Organism: Bolinopsis microptera
Lineage: Eukaryota; Metazoa; Ctenophora; Tentaculata; Lobata; Bolinopsidae
Exons: 3
Source: RefSeq, a predicted model, not a curated record
GACACUAUUUUAAUAUUCAAAGCUACUGAGCGCUACAAUGAAGCUGACCCUACUGACGGUGCUGUUUUCUGUUUUCUCACGGUCGUGUGCUGCUGAUCCCGUCCUGCAGGUGCGAGGAACGGGGCACUGUAUUGACCAGAACCACAAUGAGAUGGAUUACGAGUGUUUGAAGUAUAUGUGGGAUUUCUACUAUCUGGAGAGGGCUGCAGAUAGUUGGGUAGCCUGUGGUACAUACCUCUCCUCCUUCAGUACCAAGAAGUAUCCUGCCAGUAACAAGUGUUUGGUGUAUCGGAGUAAGUGUAACGAUCUUGAUAACGAUAAGCCGUGCUGCAAAUCUAUUCACUGUCAUCUCUGGUUAAUGGGGAGAAGACCGUCGUAAGAAUCUUAAUACCGACGUGAUGCCCAUAUAAGGAGUCCCACGUGAUGCCCAUAUAAGGAGUCCCACGUGAUGCCCAUAUAAGGAGUCCCACGUGAUACCCAUAUAAGGAGUCCCACGUGAUACCCAUAUAAGGAGUCCCACGUGAUACCCAUAUAAGGAGUCCCACGUGAUACCCAUAUAAGGAGUCCCACGUGAUACCCACAUAAGGAGUCCCACGUGAUACCCAUAUAACUAUAUAAGGAGUCCCACGUGAUACCCAUAUAAGGAGUCCCACGUGAUACCCAUAUAAGGAGUCCCACGUGAUGCCCAUAUAAGGAGUCCCACGUGAUGCCAAUAUAAGGAGUCCCACGUGAUGCCCAUAUAAGGAGUCCCACGUGAUACCCAUAUAAGGAGUCCCACGUGAUGCCCAUAUAAGGAGUCCCGCGCGAUGCCCAUAUAAGGAGUGUUUUAACAGCGUUAUUGUAAUCACCCUCACUCAGUAAAGAAACUGCAAUAGAAAUUAAUGGUGGUUUAGCUUGCAUUUUAUUUUUUGUCCUUAUUUGUUAUUUACGAGUAUUUCUGUAGAAUUGCAAAUAUUGAUUAAUCUCCAUAAAUAACCUAAUUUCCAAGUGUUAACCUUUCUAAAGUGUUAACCUUUCAAGCUCUGUGUAUUGAUUAAUUCUGUCCCGACUUUAUUUAGGCAUAUGUGAAGCUGUCAUUUACAAAUUAAGCGAUUUCGUUACCAUUUGGAUAUUUGAAAAUUAUUUGUUUGAUUGUAAUUUUGUUGAAAUUCGUCAAAUUUGCAUUAAUUUAUUUGAAAAA